This 7555-nucleotide long non-coding RNA is filed under the name Panax ginseng (ginseng). Its description in RNAcentral is "long non-coding RNA (PGIN_LNC000902)". The record is from RNAcentral. Lineage: Eukaryota; Viridiplantae; Streptophyta; Magnoliopsida; Apiales; Araliaceae.
UAAAUUUGGCCCCAAGUAUGAGGAGAGAGCUCUUUUACUUGAUAUUCCAGCAUGUUGCAACUAUGUUCUCAGUAUGUGGGAUCAUAAAAUGAUAAGGAUCUAAGCUAACUCUGAUCCCUAUAAGAGGUUUUAUGGACAGAGUAAUGUGGAUGGCUAGUGUAAAGUUAUUAUUAGAUAGUUAAGUAGAUGAAAUAAACUGCAGUCCAUUACCGUGCUAAUAUACUGAAUUACAACAGCCGAUACUAUAUUUGGGAUUUGGAAGGAGAUGAUCACCCAUGCUUGACGCAAGUACAAAAUUGAGCCGCUAAAGUUAUGACUUUAUUUUGGAUAUUGGCAAAACAUGAUUGAUAUAUUUACAAAUGACUUCACCAUUGUUACAGUAUUCUUUAUACUGGCAAUAGAGGUUGACUGGGUAUACAUAUAUAAGACUCUCCCUUCCAAUAUAUAAGAUCACAUCACCAGCUUUACAAAAGUGAGUGAUCUUAUAUAUUGGUAGGAGGUAGUAUCAUUCAGAUAUGGACACACUUGCAAUUGCUCUUGGACCAUACCACGCUCUCAACUGUUAGCCAUAGGCUUGUGAAUACUGAUGGCAUCCAUGUCUUGUUGCAGGAACUAAUUAAAUGAGGCGAUUAGCAGAGACGCUUUGUUAAGCUUGGCUUAUGGGGAUUGAUGAGGCAGCACUAUGGUUGUGCCAUACGAAAAUCCUCCAAAACGGUCUUUGCUUCCGCUUUGACAUCAACUCGGAUUCCGUUUUCCUAAGCAUUUCCCACAUCACCUGAACAUCCUCGUAUCCACAGGUUUGUAUAUCAUUGUGAAGCUUCAAAAGACCAGCACCUGAACCAAACAGUACCAUGGAGACAGAAAAGUAAGUAAUCUUUGUUUGAAACUGGUAGUUUCUGAUUGCAAAAAAACUACGCAGUUGCACAGUGGGUAGUGGGCACAUUAAUAACAACAGCCAGGAUGCAAAAAAAGUCAAAAAGAAAGGGAAGAUAUCGUUGUCCUCCUAAUUUUGGGAGAGCGACUUUCCUUUUCUAGCAAUUACAAUCAACCUUUGCAUUUUUCUUUUACUUUUUCCUCCAAUCUAAAAGAAUUGAAAUGGUAUUUUAAUUUUUCAGUGGUGGAAUAUCAUUUCUAGUAUAAGUUACAACACUCAUUACUCAUGGUACAAUUGUAUAAUGCUACCAUUUCCAGCUCUAGAAUCUAGAAAUUUCAUUCCCCUAAAAGAAAGUGAUAUUCAAGUUAGGUCAUUGAUUUGGUUGGUAGAUAUAUACUAAAGUAGUCUCUGUUCCAUAAUUGAAGAAUUUGAGUGGAACCAGCCAAGUACCAUUAUUAUAUUACUCCUAUAUCUUUAUUGAUAAGUGAAGUGAAGGAUCAGAAACCAUCUUUGAUUAGAACUUCAAAAUUUCACCAAAAAAGUUUUAGAGAGCAUUCUUAAUUAACACAUAAAUGGAAAUAAUUGUCCUGAUUGCAAUUUAUUCUUUUGUCUAUUUAAUUAUUGUUUCAUCAGGAGUAUUCAACUCAAAUUUAAAGGAAUUAAUCUGGAAUUAGAUAUUAAACAAACUAACAGCGACUUUUAGUGGAUUUAUCCUCUUCCUAGUGGUCGUGACCAUCAUUGUUAGUGGCAUCUUUCGUGCAAUGUUUAAAAAUGGUUUAAGAAAUGUCUUUACCAGAGUCUCGAAAUGGACCUUUAUUAACUUGUUAUGGUAAACUAAAUUUGACUGCUGACAAAAUAAUUUACUUUGUUGUAAUGAUAGUUAAUUUCUAUUUUAAGGGCUCACUCCCUUAUUUUACAUAACAUGUAUGUUCACCUUUUUUAGCGACAAUUCGGUCCAUCGCUAUAUUAGAGAACUGUCAUCUUAGUUUUUAGUAAUGGACAACAUAUAACGACGGAUCGAACCGUGUUUGAUCCUUUCCGUGUGUGUGUGUGUAUAUAUAUAUAUAGAAAGAGUCUCUCAAACGGACUGUUUGUUUACGAACAGUCUUAGUUGGCUUUUUAAAUUAAAUAAGUUGACCUAAACAAGACAUUCACUAAAAAACAAAAGUAUCCAAACAAAACUUAUGAGGCACUCUCUUCCCUCUCCAUACCACGUAUUCUCUUCUCCCUCUGCAUACCAGCAAAAAACAAUCCAGCAAUUGAAAAGUCAUUCCGCCCAUCCCUCCCAAGUUCGACGUCCUCCCAAAUUCGACGAUCUCGAUUUCAAGUAAUACUUUUUCUCUCUUUUCAGAUUUGGGUUUAAACAAAAUGAAGAAGAAAAGGAACCUAGAUUUAAACCUAGAUCUAGAUAACUAAAUCAGUGUAUAAAUUUUGCCAAUGCAUAUAUAGAACUUAAUUUCUCUAAAAAGAAAAAAAAGUCCUAAUUUUGGAUUAAUUGUUCUGCUUUUUUUCUUCUUUACAAAACAGAACAAUUAAUGUUAGGGCAUUAAGUGCAAUUAAUGUGAGGGCAUUAAGUGAAAAAUUGUCUAUAAAAACUGUCAUUUUUGAAAUAUAUCUCUAAUUUAAGAACAAAUGAAGUUUUUUGAUAUCUAUGCUCAUAAUAUAUUAGGGUUGCAAUGCCACUUUAAGACAAAUAUAUAAAUUUCUUAAGUCCAUUAAUAUUUGUUGAGUUGUAGUACUGUUCAAGCAAACUUGGCCCGAAUUGUACAAUUAUUGAGUUGUUGAAUUGUGGCUUGUUACUUUAACAGCCUUCUUGCACUCCUGAAUUUUAAUUAGCAGGGGAACAAUGAGGAGUUUAACAUGUCUGAUUUAGUACACAUGUACAUCAUUUUUUAAAUGAGGACUUCUAAUACUUUAUUAUCUUUUUUCUAUGUGAAUAAUUUUUUGCAUAAUUUUUGUAUAUUUACAGAUUGUUAAAAUGGACACUAUGGACUUAGAGUUUGGGAGUUAUGACAAUGUUGAUUUAAACGUAGGAGAGAGUGAUGAGUUAGAAGAGUCAAAUUCCAUUUAUAAUCCUCAAGUAAGACUUGAGCUAAAGUCCAAAAAAGGACAACAAUUUGAAACAUUAGAAGAUGUCAAAAAUUUUUACAAUGCAUAUGCAAAAGAGGCCGGAUUUAGAAUUCGAAGUUGGACCCAAAGGAAUAAAGGGGGAAGGAGUGAAGAAAUCAUAAUGAAAGAAUAUGUUUGUUUUAAGGAAUGACGGGGUUCAAUAGUAGCAGAUACUGAUACACAGGUGUCGAGAGAAUGUGAAAGAGAAUUGGAAAGCUAAAAUUGCAUUUUUGAAAUCAAAAUCUAAAUUUUUUUGUUGUGAGUGUAUUUAUUGAAGGGCAUAGUCACGUAUUGUUCACCCCAAGAAAAGUCCAUCUUUUAAGAUCUCACCGCAAUGUUUCUAAUGCCCAAAAAUGCUUAACGCAAUAACUUGGAAUGGUAAAUAUACUACUGCAUCAACAAUGUAAUUUUUUGGGAGUUCAAGCAGGGGGGUUAUAAAAUAUAGGAUGUACGCAAAAAGAUUUAUAUAAUUAUGAGAGAGAUAACGUAAUGAGAUAAAGGGGCAUGAUGGUGGUAUGUUGGUUGAAUAUUUUAAAUUAGAACAUAUCAAGAAUUCUUCUUUCAUAUUUCAAAUUGAAUCAGAUGAUGAAAAUCGUAUUAUUUGUUAUUUUUGGGCCGAUGAAAAUUCUAAAUGGGCUUAUAACUUUUAUGGUGAUGUGAUAAUAUUCAAUACUACAUACAAUACCAACCGGUAUGGAAUGAUUUUUGCACCAUUGUUGGGGGUUAAUAAUCAUGGGUAAACCAUUAUCUUUGUUUGUGCUUUCUUAUCUGAUGAGACUGUAGAUUCUUUUGUUUGGCUUUUUAAUCAAUUCAUAGAAUCUAUGCCAGGUGAUGCUCCAAAGAUGAUUUCCAACGAUGGCGAAAGCUAUUUCUGAAACUUUUCCAAGUAUUUAUCAAAGGUAUUGUAGUUGGCACAUUUUGACAAAUUUUUUUGAGAAAUUAGAUUCGGUAAAAUAUGCUCAAUACUAUAAGGAAUUUUCAGAUUGUAUAUGAAAAUCAGAAAGUAUAGAAGAGUUUGACUCUAGGUGGUUGCGUCUUGUUCUCAUAAGUGGGUUGAAUGAGAAUAAAUGGCUAAAGUCAAUGUUUGAAAUUCAUUCAAGAUGGGUGCCUGCAUAUGUUAAUCAUGUUUUCUCGGCCGUUAUGUCAAGUAGCCAACGAGCUGAGGGCACUCAUGCAUUCUUCAAGAAAUAUGUUAACAAAAGAAAUUCAUUGGUGGAUUUUAUGAUUCAGUUUAGUAGGGGUCUUGCACACCAACGUCAUGAAGAAUUAAAGGUCGACAAUAAAGACAUGAAUAAAAAGCCUAAGGUGAAAAUGCUCCACUCUUUUUUGUUACAAAUGAUUGAUAUUUACACAUGUGAAUUAUUUUAUAUUUUUCAAGAUGAGUUGUAAGGGAGCUUCUUGAAUUAUAAAUUCCAGCUCAUUGGAGAUUAUGAUAAUCAUUGUGUAUAAUAUUAAAAAAAUGAUGAUAAGUAUAAAAAACUUGUAAAAAAUUUGAGAGCGUUGGAAUUUCUUGUAGGUAUCUUUUAGCUUAUUUGAACAAAUUUCAUGAUCUAGAGAAACUUCUAAAUAAGUACAUAUUAAAGAGAUGGACUCAAUCUGCAAAAUGUGAGAAUGCUAGAGAUGAUGCAGGAAUGGAGAUAAAUGAUGACAAAUUAUAUCUCACGUUGCGGAGUCAAUUGGUUCAAGAAUCUAUGAAAGUUGUUGAUAAGGCACUUGUAACUGUGGAAGGAACUAAGAUAUAUAGGGAUGCUUUGAGUAAUGCACUUGAGAAAAUGAAUAUAUUGAAUAAUGAUGAUAAAAGUGUAGGAGUUUCUGGUGAAAAAAUUGGUCUUGAUAUACUUAGUUAAGUGAAAUUGAGUUCAACACAUGAACAUAUGCUUCAAGAACCGAGUCAAGUGCGGGCAAAUGGGUGCGGAAAAAGGCUCAAAGGCGGAAAAGAAAGAGCAUUAGGGAGGGUAAAAAAACAGAAACCGAGAAUGUGUCGUUGAUGUGGAAAAAUUGGACAAGCACAUGAUAAAAGAAAUUGUCCAAUACUUCAACUCAGGCAACAAAUCUUUUUAUUUCUGUUUUAUCAUUUUAAUUUGAUUUUGGCAAAAUAAUGAAUAUAUUUUUUAUUUAAUGUGAUUUUAUUGAAUUUUUUGUAGGUCGUCGGUAUGCUCUGAAUAUUCUAAUUCAAAUGCAAGUGAAGACGAUGGCGAAAAUUAUUCAUCUACUUGAUCGACUACUAUUUUUAUUUUUUUGACUAUGUAAUGGUUAUUGAAGUUGUGUGUAGUUAACCAAGGUUGUUAAUUCACUAGAAUUAUGUUUUAUUGGCUAAUGUAAUUGAAAUUCUAAUUUUUGGAUUGAUGUAUUUAAUUGAUAAUUUAUAAAUUGUGUCAAAAUUAAUAAUUAGUUUUUAUUUUUUUUUAUUUUUUUCGAUGGUAUGCAGAGAGAGAAGAGAAUACAUGGUAUGGAGAGGUAAGAGAGAAGAGAGAAUGCCUGAUAAAUUUUGUUUGGAUACUUGAGUUUUGUUUUUUAGUGAAUGUCUUAUUUAGGUCCACUUAUUUAAUUUAAAAAGUCAGCUAAGUACGUCUUGUUUAACUUAGAUAAUGAUUGUCAAGUUAGACUGUUCGUAAACAAACAGUCCAUUUGUGAGCUUUAUUGUAUAUAUAUAUAUAUAUAUAUAUAUAUAUAUAUAUGUUAUUGAACAAAUGACCAAAAGGCAAAAACAACCCCAUGUUAGGACCAAUCUUUUAUAUUCAUUUAUUUUAGAUAGUUGGCACCGAACUAGUAAUUGUUUUAAAUGGCUUUAGCAUUAAUUAUAAAAGAUAAAAAUAAAAUUGGCCUUUUAGAUAGAGGUGUGCAUUUUUUUUUUGUUUUUUCGGUUUUUGGAUGAAUCAGACCGGUCCGAACCGGCCGAUUUGGUAUAAAUAUCAAGCGGUUCGAUUUCGGUACAAAAAAUCGGUACGUACCGGUUAAACGGUACCGGUUUCGAUUUCUUGUUUUCUUGGUUCGGUAUAAACCGGACCGGACCGGUUCGUAACGGUUUUCUAAUUUUUUAUUAUUAUUAAUAAAUAAUUAAUAAUAAUAAUAAAAUAAUAAUUAUAAUAAUAAUAAUAAUUAUAUUAAUUUUCGGUAAAAACCGAUACCGAACCGGUACCGCCGGUUCGGUAUACCGGUCCAACCGGUACCGGUAUCGGUAUCAAGAUUUGGCCUAUUUCAGUUCCGGUUUGGUUGGUACCGGUCUGGUUCGGUCCGGUAAAAACCGGUUGAACACCCCUACCUUUAGACGGACGGACGGACCAAGUGAUGUAAUGAAGGAAAAGAAAUGAAGGUGAUGAAAAAGAACGAUCGGAGAAAAGUGUUAUGAGCACAGAAUUAACAGACUUCCAAGUUAAUUGACAGUUGUUUGUUUAAAAUUUAAAUUAAAAGGGACUUCUUGUAUAAAUAAAGAUGGAUAGAGAGGGGGAUGUUUUAUCUGAAAAAAUGUAUUUCUUUUGGCUCUUUGUUCCUUGUUAUGUAUCAAACUCUUUCCAUUAAUCCAAAUCUUUCCAUUGUUUUUCCUUUAUUUUAUCUUUUGAGUUCUUAAUUUUGUGAUUGUUAAUCACAACAAUCGGUAUCAAAGCUACCUGUCCUUGGCAUUAGCUUCCAUUCAUGGCGGCCGGAACACGUUCGAAGGGAGGAGGGAUUACACAACGUACAAAUAUUGAUGAAUAGUCAUCACCAGCUAUAACGUUCAUUGGAGAUAAAUUCAAGAAUAUGCAGAGUACUUCCAACACAAUCUUAAAGGUAAAGGAAUUGCUUCUAAUUGAAUCUUUUGUAGAUUUAACUCAGGCUACUAUAGGAAAUGGGGAAUCAUAACACAAUUCAUAAUUCUGUUAUGGGAAAUACGACUUAGUCAGCUUUGAUUUUCCUGUUUUCAAUGGAUCGGAUAUUAAAAAUUAGGUAAUGAAAUGUGAAUAUUUUUUUCAAUUUUAUCCUAUAAAUGAUUUGAUGAGGCAGAGAAGUGUGGCUGAAUCUUGGUUUCUUGCCUAUUUUAAGUCUAAUUCCAAUGUGUCAUGGAAGCAGCAGUUUGUGGAAGAUGUAGAAAUCAGAUUUGGGAAAACUUUCUAUAGUGUAAUUCAAUAGGUUACAACAAACCUUUUCAGUAACCCAUUAUCAGAAGAUAUUUGAGUUCCUUAGAUCACUUGUUUGUUGGAUAUUUUCAUUAUCUAAAGUAUAUAAUAAAUAUAUUAUAUGUUAUCCAUGUAACCAACAAUUAAUAUUGGUUCAGUUGGAUAAGAGAGAUUUGUUGAUCCUAAGGACUUGGGUUCAAGCAAAAAUUUUCAACAUUGUUGAGGCUGAAAAUUCAAGAUUGGAUGAGGCAUAUUUUGUGGGUGGAUUGACGGAUGAGAUGGGGGGAUUUGUUAGGCUUCUUAAGCCUCAGAAAUUGAUUGAGACUAUUGCAGCAACUAGAGUACAAGAGAGUACUAUUGAGUUAAUUUACAAAAAAAUAAUAAUUUAACUUCAAAUUUUCGCAAACCUAUAGGAAGUACUGAAGGAAGUAGUUCUUUUGGGCCAAGUAACACACCUAUGCCACAACCUCGAGGAACU